Molecule: ribosomal RNA, 666 nt
Filed under: uncultured Haemophilus sp.
Lineage: Bacteria; Pseudomonadati; Pseudomonadota; Gammaproteobacteria; Pasteurellales; Pasteurellaceae
Description: bacterial SSU rRNA
Rfam family: Bacterial small subunit ribosomal RNA
Source: RNAcentral
CGGACGGGUGAGUAAUGCUUGGGAAUCUGGCUUAUGGAGGGGGAUAACUACGGGAAACUGUAGCUAAUACCGCGUAGUAUCGAGAGAUGAAAGACUGGGACCGCAAGGCCAGUUGCCAUGAGAUGAGCCCAAGUGGGAUUAGGUAGUUGGUGGGGUAAAGGCCUACCAAGCCGACGAUCUCUAGCUGGUCUGAGAGGAUGACCAGCCACACUGGAACUGAGACACGGUCCAGACUCCUACGGGAGGCAGCAGUGGGGAAUAUUGCACAAUGGGGGGAACCCUGAUGCAGCCAUGCCGCGUGAAUGAAGAAGGCCUUCGGGUUGUAAAGUUCUUUCGGUGAUGAGGAAGGUGUUUGUUUUAAUAGAGCAAGCAAUUGACGUUAGUCACAGAAGAAGCACCGGCUAACUCCGUGCCAGCAGCCGCGGUAAUACGGAGGGUGCGAGCGUUAAUCGGAAUGACUGGGCGUAAAGGGCACGCAGGCGGUGACUUAAGUGAGAUGUGAAAGCCCCGAGCUUAACUUGGGAAUUGCAUUUCAUACUGGGUUGCUAGAGUAUUUUAGGGAGGGGUAGAAUUCCACGUGUAGCGGUGAAAUGCGUAGAGAUGUGGAGGAAUACCGAAGGCGAAGGCAGCCCCUUGGGAAAAUACUGACGCUCAUGUGCGAAAGCG